GAUGAACGCUGGCGGCGUGCCUAAUACAUGCAAGUCGAGCGAACGGACGAGAAGCUUGCUUCUCUGAUGUUAGCGGCGGACGGGUGAGUAACACGUGGAUAACCUACCUAUAAGACUGGGAUAACUUCGGGAAACCGGAGCUAAUACCGGAUAAUAUUUUGAACCGCAUGGUUCAAAAGUGAAAGACGGUCUUGCUGUCACUUAUAGAUGGAUCCGCGCUGCAUUAGCUAGUUGGUAAGGUAACGGCUUACCAAGGCAACGAUGCAUAGCCGACCUGAGAGGGUGAUCGGCCACACUGGAACUGAGACACGGUCCAGACUCCUACGGGAGGCAGCAGUAGGGAAUCUUCCGCAAUGGGCGAAAGCCUGACGGAGCAACGCCGCGUGAGUGAUGAAGGUCUUCGGAUCGUAAAACUCUGUUAUUAGGGAAGAACAUAUGUGUAAGUAACUGUGCACAUCUUGACGGUACCUAGUCAGAAAGCCACGGCUAACUACGUGCCAGCAGCCGCGGUAAUACGUAGGUGGCAAGCGUUAUCCGGAAUUAUUGGGCGUAAAGCGCGCGUAGGCGGUUUUUUAAGUCUGAUGUGAAAGCCCACGGCUCAACCGUGGAGGGUCAUUGGAAACUGGAAAACUUGAGUGCAGAAGAGGAAAGUGGAAUUCCAUGUGUAGCGGUGAAAUGCGCAGAGAUAUGGAGGAACACCAGUGGCGAGGGCGACUUUCUGGUCUGUAACUGACGCUGAUGUGCGAAAGCGUGGGGAUCAAACAGGAUUAGAUACCCUGGUAGUCCACGCCGUAAACGAUGAGUGCUAAGUGUUAGGGGGUUUCCGCCCCUUAGUGCUGCAGCUAACGCAUUAAGCACUCCGCCUGGGGAGUACGACCGCAAGGUUGAAACUCAAAGGAAUUGACGGGGACCCGCACAAGCGGUGGAGCAUGUGGUUUAAUUCGAAGCAACGCGAAGAACCUUACCAAAUCUUGACAUCCUUUGACAACUCUAGAGAUAGAGCCUUCCCCUUCGGGGGACAAAGUGACAGGUGGUGCAUGGUUGUCGUCAGCUCGUGUCGUGAGAUGUUGGGUUAAGUCCCGCAACGAGCGCAACCCUUAAGCUUAGUUGCCAUCAUUAAGUUGGGCACUCUAAGUUGACUGCCGGUGACAAACCGGAGGAAGGUGGGGAUGACGUCAAAUCAUCAUGCCCCUUAUGAUUUGGGCUACACACGUGCUACAAUGGACAAUACAAAGGGCAGCGAAACCGCGAGGUCAAGCAAAUCCCAUAAAGUUGUUCUCAGUUCGGAUUGUAGUCUGCAACUCGACAACAUGAAGCUGGAAUCGCUAGUAAUCGUAGAUCAGCAUGCUACGGUGAAUACGUUCCCGGGUCU
Molecule: ribosomal RNA, 1372 nt
Filed under: uncultured bacterium
Lineage: Bacteria
Description: bacterial SSU rRNA
Rfam family: Bacterial small subunit ribosomal RNA
Source: RNAcentral